This is a non-coding RNA of Macaca mulatta (Rhesus monkey), 1444 nucleotides long. The record is from RefSeq and is a predicted model, not a curated record. Lineage: Eukaryota; Metazoa; Chordata; Mammalia; Primates; Cercopithecidae.
GGGAGGGAGAGAAAGAGGGAGGGAAAGGAGAGAGAAAAACCAACUUGUCUGUAGCAGCAACAUGCUAGCCCCUAGUUAUGGCUCAUGCCCACUUGUAUUUUUCAUACUCUACUUACAACCCAACAGUGGGUCAUGAAAUUAACUUAGUUGAUGAUGUGACUAGUACUUAAACAAAUGCAAGGGAAAAUAUCAGUGUACAGCACAAACAGUAAAUAUAAGUUGUGUUUUGUGGAACUUUUUGUUUGCAUUCUUACUGUGGGUUACAGUUUAAAAAAAAAACAAAACAGCUGUCUAAGUCUUGACAAUCCUUUUCAUAGCUUUUUUCAGUGAAGCUAGAGGUGACCGUGAGACCUGCUUCUGGACACAGAGACAGGGGAAAGUGUACUGGGGGAGGAGAGAUCUGAGGGAUGGUGAAGAUAACUUUUGCUUUCCUGGUAGAAAGAACAGAUGUCUCUCCUGCUUGCCUGUCUCAAAUGAGUACAUGAUGUGUAAUAUCUGGAGCAUUGGCAGCCACGUUGAGAUCAUAAUGCAACAUGUCCACAUGCUGAGGCUGGCAGAGCAUAAAGAUCAAAGGUGUCUGGAUCGUUCUUAACAUCAUGGAGCUUCUGCACCAUCCCUGCACUGCCUACUCCAGACUCCCUACCAUGGAGAAAAAUUAGCUCCUAUUUCUUCAAGGCAGAGAUUCAGGUAAGAAAACAGACUCAGGGAGGCCGAGAUCCCCCUCCAAAUGACACGUACAGAUAGCAGUAGAGUCCAGGUUUGUGCCUGGUGGCCCCACGUGGUGGUGUCUGUACCACCCGGGAGUGAAGGAAAACAACAUCUACCUCUAAUGGAACACACUGGGUCUCAGGGGAGCCAAGGCCACACAGAAGUUCCUGCAAGACUUCUUGCUCCAGGACGCCACCCCAGUAAAGGAGGCCUUUGGGAGUCCAUUAAGUGAGCAGGGCGUCCUGUUCAUCGUGGGCAAUUGCAUUCUUUUUGGCCUUCCUACCUCAGAAAGACUUAGGAAAUGCUGUUAUUCUGCAAACAGUUCGGACUGGCUUGUAAGAUCCAUAAAAAGACAAAUGGAAACACUCACGAGCCAAUGUUUUUAUGAAAGAGCCACAAAGGACAAAUUUAUGUUUGAUUUGCAAGUAGGGAAGCUCAUAAGAACCUAAAAGCCUGAUAAAGACUACCCGGCCCGUCUGUCAGGCAGGCUGUUCUGUGUGGUUUUGGCUUGAGGCAUCUUGGCACCAGGGCUCAGCUUCCAAAAGACCGAAAAAUUACCUUCUUCCCUUUGGUGCUCCCAGGGUGAAAAGGCUGGGUACAAUCACGUGUUGUUGAGAUGUAAUUUAGAUUUUUGAGGCCUGAAAAAUAGGUUUAUAUAUCUUGAUGUAAAUGAUAUUAAUAAUGAGAACCAUUUUCAAACCAUUCUCUUAAGACAGUAAAUGGGAUUUUGAAUUAA